GUCGGGCGUGAUGGUGCACGCCUGUAAUCCCAGCAGUUUGGGAGGCUGAAGCAGGAGGAUCUCAAGUUCAAAGCCAGCCUCAGCAACUUAGUGAGGCGCUAAGCAACCCAGUGAGACCCUGUCUCUA
Molecule: small RNA, 127 nt
Filed under: Marmota monax (woodchuck)
Lineage: Eukaryota; Metazoa; Chordata; Mammalia; Rodentia; Sciuridae
Source: RNAcentral